Molecule: long non-coding RNA, 1123 nt
Organism: Zingiber officinale
Lineage: Eukaryota; Viridiplantae; Streptophyta; Magnoliopsida; Zingiberales; Zingiberaceae
Exons: 4
Source: RefSeq, a predicted model, not a curated record
UACCCGAACUCUUUUCCCUCUUCUCCCCCGACUCCGAUCUCUCUCUGUUCUCUCUUUCUCGCGGACGGAUUUGUGGCGAUCGUCCCCAUCGCAUUGUCGGAGGACCAGGUCGUCGAAGCUCGAUGGGAAACGACGGAGUCCAGUCUAUCUUUGGUCCAGUGAUUUCUUCUCUGGUGUUUCCUGUGCCCGAUCAAUGAAGGCGUGGAGGCUAGGGCACGGAGGGGGCUGGAGGUGCGUCAUUCCCAGUCGAUCUGUGCCCUUCUCUUCUUGAGUUUCUUUUUCUCUUCGGCCUCGACAAGCGACUGUGAAGGUUUUUCCAUCACCGCCCCCAAAUCGCUUCAAUUGGAGAGAAAUUAAGGCUAUCAGCGUCCGAUCUGUCCAGCACCGGCAAUGUGGGUGAGUGGACGGCCAUAACAGUGAUCUUGGAGGUAGAGGAGCUGAUAGAUUCUAGCCCUCAUCAUUGUUAGCUAGGUUUGCCUCGCCGGAUAUGUGAUUACCACCGGCGACUAUAGAGGAGGAGUGGAGUGGAAUCCAGUAGGUUGUUCUGUUCGGUGGGGUAUUCUUAUCUGGUCUAGCAGAUCACCUUGUUUUCCAGCAACACCUCUUUGGUUGCAAAUCAAUAGCAGAGGUUGGAGAUUAAGGACUCUGAUUCGAGACGGGCGUCUCGACUUUGAAUCGCUUGAUUGUACCUUCUAUUUGAGGCGGGUACCCUUUGACUUAUCUUUUUGAUAUUGUCUUAUGAUAUGUGUGGUUUAUAUAUAAUUGCUAGUGGUAGUCGAUAGAUUUAUCUCUUCCCUGGUCUUAGCUUAGUUGAUACCUAUCGGAUGCAUCUACUGUUAGUUGCUUUACAUUAGAACUGGAUGCUUUUAUCUUUUACCAUGUGUAUCUAUGUUUAUAGAGAUGGAUAUGUAUAUAUGGUAGUUCUGUCCAUUGGAUUAGUUGCUAUACCUACUUGAUAUGUGUUGUUGGAUUUAUGCUUGGUUAUAUAUAUAUAUAUGUGUGUGUGUGUGUGUGUGUGUGUGUUUACCUUUUUGGCACACACGUAUACGGAGGAGGUUAUGUUCAAGUAUGACAUACUGUAGCAUCAUGCACCAUCCCGCAUGAUUGCAUGCUUGGCGAUUGA